RNAcentral lists this ribosomal RNA (253 nucleotides) under uncultured bacterium. RNAcentral's name for it is "partial 16S ribosomal RNA". It matches the Rfam family "Bacterial small subunit ribosomal RNA", at positions 524 to 776 of the family's 1533-position model. The record is from RNAcentral.
UACGUAGGGAGCAAGCGUUGUCCGGAAUCAUUGGGCGUAAAGCGUGCGCAGGCGGUUUGUUAAGACAGAUGUGAAAUCCCCGGGCUUAACCUGGGAACUGCGUUUGUAACUGGCAGACUUGAGUGUGGCAGAGGGGGGUGGAAUUCCAAGUGUAGCAGUGAAAUGCGUAGAUAUUUGGAGGAACACCGAUGGCGAAGGCAGCCCCCUGGGUUAACACUGACGCUCAUGCACGAAAGCGUGGGGAGCAAACAGG